CAUUAUCUCAGCGGCGAUGCGGCUGUGGAUGCUAUUGGUGCGAUGGAGGAACGCAAGGAGGAACUUAUUAAAGCACAAGAGUUGUUCUAUAUGAAUGGAUCUGUUAGCUCGGGUAAGAAGGUUUUCAAGAAUGACAAUGGCAAUUUGAUGAGCAGGCAGCAAGCUGCUGCACCGAUGAUGCUUGGAAAAGAGCUGGUGAUGCUCAUGAAGAUGCUGGUUACUAUUGUGGUGGUGCUAGGGCUUGCUGCACUGGUGCUGAUCAUGCUGAAGAAGUGAAGAUGCUUGUUGGUGUAGUGGUGGUGCUGCUAGUUCUUGCUGCUAGGUGAUGCUUUUGUUCCAGCCUGAUGUAAUGGAAUGGUGGUGGUGAACUAUGGUUUUAGCUUAUGUUGUCCUACCUUUUGUUUCAGUCUGAUGCAAUGGAAAGUUAAGUGCAAGUGCUUGAUAUUUUCAAUGUUAAGUGUUCUU
RNAcentral lists this long non-coding RNA (465 nucleotides) under Hordeum vulgare. RNAcentral's name for it is "long non-coding RNA (HVUL_LNC004708)". The record is from RNAcentral. Lineage: Eukaryota; Viridiplantae; Streptophyta; Magnoliopsida; Poales; Poaceae.